This 753-nucleotide ribosomal RNA is filed under the name uncultured Methanosaeta sp. Its description in RNAcentral is "bacterial SSU rRNA". It matches the Rfam family "Archaeal small subunit ribosomal RNA", at positions 102 to 856 of the family's 1478-position model. Lineage: Archaea; Methanobacteriati; Methanobacteriota; Methanomicrobia; Methanotrichales; Methanotrichaceae. The record is from RNAcentral.
GGACAACCUGCCCUUAGGACGGGGAUAAACCCGGGAAACUGGGUAUAAUACCCGAUAGGUCUCGAUUGCUGGAAUGCAUCGAGAUUUAAAGCUCCGGCGCCUAAGGAUGGGUCUGCGGCCUAUCAGGUAGUAGUGGGUGUAGCGUACCUACUAGCCUACGACGGGUACGGGUUGUGAGAGCAAGAGCCCGGAGAUGGAUUCUGAGACACGAAUCCAGGCCCUACGGGGUGCAGCAGGCGCGAAAACUUUACAAUGCUGGCAACAGCGAUAAGGGAACCUCGAGUGCCAGGUUACAAAUCUGGCUGUCGAGAUGCCUAAAAAGCAUUUCAUAGCAAGGGCCGGGCAAGACCGGUGCCAGCCGCCGCGGUAACACCGGCGGCUCGAGUGGUAACCGUUAUUAUUGGGUCUAAAGGGUCUGUAGCCGGCCGGAUAAGUCUCUUGAGAAAUCUGGCAGCUUAACUGUCAGGCUUUCAGGAGAUACUGUCUGGCUCGAGGCCGGGAGAGGUGAGAGGUACUUCAGGGGUAGGGGUGAAAUCUUGUAAUCCUUGAAGGACCACCAGUGGCGAAGGCGUCUCACCAGAACGGACCUGACGGCAAGGGACGAAAGCUAGGGGCACGAACCGGAUUAGAUACCCGGGUAGUCCUAGCCGUAAACGAUACUCGCUAGGUGUCGGCCACGGUGCGACCGUUGUCGGUGCCGUAGGGAAGCCGUGAAGCGAGCCACCUGGGUAGUACGGCCGCAAGGCUGAAACU